UACGUAGGUGACAAGCGUUGUCCGGAUUUACUGGGCGUAAAGAGCGCGCAGGCGGUCGUUCAAGUCGAGUGUGAAAGCCCCCGGCUCAACUGGGGAGGGUCACUCGAUACUGAUCGACUCGAAGGCAGGAGAGGGUAGUGGAAUUCCGAGUGUAGCGGUGAAAUGCGUAGAGACUCGGAAGAACACCAGUGGCGAAGGCGGCUACCUGGUCCAGCACCGACGUUCAGGCACGAAAGCGUGGGGAGCAAACAGG
This 253-nucleotide ribosomal RNA is filed under the name uncultured bacterium. RNAcentral describes it as "partial 16S ribosomal RNA". It matches the Rfam family "Bacterial small subunit ribosomal RNA", at positions 524 to 776 of the family's 1533-position model. The record is from RNAcentral.